AUCUAUCAUGUCGUCAGUCCAAGA
Molecule: non-coding RNA, 24 nt
Filed under: Arabidopsis thaliana (thale cress)
Lineage: Eukaryota; Viridiplantae; Streptophyta; Magnoliopsida; Brassicales; Brassicaceae
Source: RNAcentral